AGGGUUCGAUUAUGGCUCAGGAUGAACGCUGGCGGCGUGCUUAACACAUGCAAGUCGAACGAAGCGAUUUGGCGGAAGUUUUCGGAUGGAAGCUAGAUUGACUGAGUGGCGGACGGGUGAGUAACGCGUGGGUAACCUGCCUCACACUGGGGGACAACAGUUAGAAAUGACUGCUAAUACCGCAUAAGCGCACAGGACCGCAUGGUCCGGUGUGAAAAACUCCGGUGGUGUGAGAUGGACCCGCGUUUGAUUAGCUAGUUGGUGGGGUAACGGCCUACCAAGGCGACGAUCAAUAGCCGACCUGAGAGGGUGACCGGCCACAUUGGGACUGAGACACGGCCCAA
This 344-nucleotide ribosomal RNA is filed under the name uncultured bacterium. Its description in RNAcentral is "bacterial SSU rRNA". It matches the Rfam family "Bacterial small subunit ribosomal RNA", at positions 8 to 334 of the family's 1533-position model. The record is from RNAcentral.